Molecule: non-coding RNA, 5137 nt
Organism: Oryctolagus cuniculus (rabbit)
Lineage: Eukaryota; Metazoa; Chordata; Mammalia; Lagomorpha; Leporidae
Source: RefSeq, a predicted model, not a curated record
GAGGUGUAAUCUGUAUACCACAAUGAUUUUGAGUCAAGAUGAGUACUGAUAAUUGACUGUUGGCUUUUUCAUUAAGAAACUUUCCUUAAGAAUUUUGCCAAAUAAUUUUAAGUUCCAUUUAUAUACAGGAAAAAGAUACAUCCAAGGAAAAUGUUUUGCAAUGGUAGAGGUGUGGUUUGGAGUGAUGCACUGAUAAGCCAAAGAGCAUCAAGAAUUGCCAGCUAACCACCAGAAGCAUGGAAUCAGAGAGGCUGGGAACAUAUUGCCUCUCAGAGACUCUAGAAGGAAAUAAGCCUGCUGAGACCUUGAUUUUAGGAUUCUGGUCUCCAUAACUGUGAUAUGAUAUAUUUUCUUGUUUUAAGUCAGUAGGUAAUUCGUUAUGGCAACCAUAGGAAGCCAAUAGAAAUCAUCAUACAAAAUAAAUCCAACAUCAUAGAUAUUUUUUGAAAUACAAGCAUAAAUUUGCCAAUGUUUGCCUGGCCAUUCAUCAGUAACAGAGAAAAGCCCAUUACCUUUUUGAUUGCAACAAUUUAGAAAAUACUUUCAUCAGAAACAACAGGAUUCAUUGUGUAAGUCCAGGGGUAUUAUGAAAAUGCUUUAAGGGAGAGAAUGAUCCUGCGGAGGAAGCAGGAUACACAGCAGACUCAUAGAAUGACAAAUGGCCUAAAUAGCACUCUUGCCUCAGAAUCAACCCUUGGGACAUUCGGAUCUGGCUAAAAAGCCCAUGAGAGUCUCGCAGGCAUGGAAAGCCAAGGCACUGUGGCAAAAACGACCUGAAUGAAAGAUCUCAAUGAAUGAGAUCCCAGUGGAAAGAACAGCCAUCAAAGCAGGAGGCACCUUUCUCUGAAGGGCGGAAGGAACCUCCACUGUGAUAUGGCCUUGACUAAAUAAGUUCAGAGUUGGUGAACUCAAGAGGCUUCCAUAGCCUUGACAGCUCAUGGCAAGAGCCUUGGGUGAUUACUGAUGUCAUAAAGAAGAGUGUCAAUUGUUAAAUCAACAACGGGAGUCACUGUGCACCUGCUCCCCACGUAGGAUCUCUGUCCUUAAUGUGUUAUACUAUGAAAAUUAACGAUUGACAAGAAUUUGAAGGAAGUGUCUAUCACCAUAAAUAAGCAUGGAAUUAGUACAGUGUUUAUAAAUAUUAAAGUCUGUAUAAUCUGUGUUAUGGAAGAACUGAAGAGAAAUAAGCAACUUGUCUUCAGAACAAAGAAGAAUGUUCUAUUGUGCAGUCUGAUCUAAAGUGAUAUGGCCAUCUUAAGCAAUUCUUCCAGACUAACAAAAUUUCCUUAUCAAAGGCUUUGGUCCUACUUACCUUUAUAUAUUGGAUGAAUCUAGCAAAGAGAGAACUUGAACCAAGGAUUUGCUUUGUAACUGACUCUCAGAAGCUGAUUUGGUUAAUUCCCUGAAGUCAGUCAAAAUCAGUUCAAUGAAAACAGUGAAGUUAAAGGCAUAACUGGAAGACCAAACAAAUCCUUUUUGUUAAGACUGGAUGACAUUUAUUGAAACAAAUGGAUUGAUGGAUCUCAUAGAAGUACUCACUAAAGGCACUGUGGAACUGGACUGGAAGCCAGGCCUUCUUAUCUCAGAAAUGGAUAAAUGACCUUCUUUAAGGGGCUGUUGGAAGAUGUUCAUGAACUAGUUUCUGUGGUUCCAGUUGAAUUUCACAGUGCUACAGGAGUUUAGUAUUGCAUGCACAGAGAAGCCUGGAAAUGAGAAAUUUAAUGCACAGAGGCAAAUUUCAACAAUAUGAGAAAGGAACUAGCAGUUCUGCACUCACCCUUCUUGUGAUGAGAGAUGAUAAAAUCCCUACAUGAGUCUAUGAAGUGAGGUGCAGGAAAAUACAAGCCAUGCUGUCCAGGAUUGUAUCCUGAGCCUACAAUUUGUGUUUCUAAAGGCUGUGAGAAGAGAAUCAGAAGUUGCAGUUUAUUAAAAUCCCUCACAGUUGUAAGUGUACUUGCAGGUGAAGAAGAGAACCUUAUCUGGUCUGUAAUAAAGCCUGAAAGUCAUGUAUAUAAGGGUUAAGGUUGGAUUUGACCUGGUUGUUGAUCCGGUCCCAAAUCUGGAGGAAAAUAGCUUAUGACAAGGAACCAGUGUCAAAAAACUCCUUGAAGCCACAUUUUAGCAACAAAAAGGCUUUAGAAGGAAUGGUCCUUAUGCUAACUUCACCUGGAGUUUAUUGUCAAACUUAGGUUUAUCUGUUCUGCAGGCAUGGAUCAUCAUCUUAAAGUGUGAGGCCAGCGUUAUCUUAAUAAGAGUUGGACUUCUGUAAAAUUCUGAUAGGCAAUAGGCACAAAGCCAAAUAGAAAAAUUAUAAAUCCAACAAAAACAUAAAUCAAGUUUUCAUCUUAAAGGAACAGGAUUAUAGCAUAAUAGAAAUAUUGUUGACUAUUCAUGGAAGUACAACAUGGAAGAUUGACUAACCAUAUAGAAAUCGGCUCCAGAAAACUAUCAAGGUUAACAAGCCUAAAAACUAUGAACAGAUUUACAGUCUAAAAACAGUUUUACUAUACUUGGUUGAUUGUCUAUUUGCUUUAAGUACACAUGAUAAUCUUCAGUUUAUAAACUCUCAAAGUUAAAAAAUCAAUCCAAGGUAGAAUUAGACCUUUUUUUUUAACCAUAGUACCUAAUAUUUUGAAAUUUUAGGUCCUAAUAAAAAAUUAUAUCUCCUUUCACUUCCUACAAGGCUAGGAACUUGUGAAGGCAGGUAUUCUGUUAAUUUUAUAUAUGCUAAUGUUUUCAAUUCUAACCUGUUAUGGCAAGAACAGGUUCUAGCUGAUCUCACAUUGCCAUAAGGAAAGCAAAAAUCUCCAGAAAAGUUUUUGAAAUUUAGAGUAGUUAGGGGAAAACGUGAACACUAUCAUCCAUCUACAAAACUAUCCCAAAGCACUGAAAAUGAUAGAAAUCGCAGGAAACAUUGUCCAGAACCUAGAAAGCAUUCAAAUACAGAACCAGCAAUGUUUUAAAUAAAAAAUAGAAAUACAAAAAUUUCAUUCAAUCUCAUGUAACUUUUGUCCAUUAGCAGCCUUAUGAAUUUCAUAGUUCUUUUUUUUUCUCAAAGUUCUGGAACUUCUCAUCUACUCCAUUGACCUUAAAGCAGUCAGAAGCCCCUAUUUAAUUACAUUUGUUGAAAGUCUUCUCUAAAUCUGAUUGCAAGUGUUUUCAGAGAAGAGUGUACAAAACUGUGGAAGACACAAUAUUUUAAAUAGACUGGUUAAAAUUAUAGAACUCAUUAAUUGAUAAGAGUCAUCCAUAUUCAUUUCAUAGAAAGCACCUGAAAGACUUUACAAGCAUUUGUCAUUUUUAAACCCUGGACCUCCUUUUUAUCGAGAUAACCAUCAUGACUGAUAACACAACAGGAUCAUCAAACUUUUCUAACUUUUUUAUAAUUUCUAGGACAUUUGAUUCUAUUUUCUUUAACAAAGUUUAAUAUCAGUUCACAUCUUGACAACACGUUCGAUAUACUCCAAAUUUCCAAAUUAUUACCUCUACAAGAUGAGAGAUACAGCAUUUGACAUUUGCAGGCGGCAAAAUGUGUGUUUCCUUGAUCAUUCACCAAAAAGGAAAAUAAAAACCUGAAUAAAAGAAUUAGCACAUAAAAUCAUCUCAUAACUUGAAAUAAUUUAAUAGAAUCAGAACUAGGGAAGGGGAGAGAGCUUACAGGAGCGCUCUAGAAAACUGAGUCAUCAACUAAAACUUUUAAAAGAGAUGCAACAUUUUUUUUAAGUAGAUUUUAAAAUUAGAGAUCAACAUUAUCCAGAUAUUUAUUGAUAUAUCAAGAUAUAUACAUUUUCAAAAGCAUUGUUUUAACAGAGGACCAGAUUCUAACUCUAUGUCAGUGUACCUUUGGUAUUAAUGCUAAUUUUUUUUAGAAAAACCUGUAAACAAUUUAAGAAUUAUGGUCCAUUUUAUCACACACAGAUAUCUUUACAAGAUUUAUUCCUCUCAAACCUUCUGUGACUUCAUCACACCUUCUGCACUUGACUUCAAUCUUUAGGUAUUUUGUCCUACCAUUCCUUUCCUAGAGUAAUCCAAUCAUUCUCCUUAUGACACGGUUUUUCUUUUUUUAUAAGCAAUGUUCGUUCUUAUCCACAAAGUUCUUUCUUUCAUAACCUUCUUUACCAAGAACAUAUUUUCAUGCUUGUGACUUUUUAAGUUUUUCCCAUCUGAUCUCCUUGACUUUUCACUGUGAAAUAAUCCUUUAAAAAUCUCCAUAUUAAGACAACAUUUUGUAAGUGAAGGAACAUAUCAAAUUUCAGCCUUAGUUACUUUUAAGCAGUCUUGAAUUAUUUGUCAUAUAUGGACAAUUUGUGAAAACGUAUCUGCUAACAAACCCAAAUAGUCUUUUAGCAUCUUAAAUUCAAUGAAAAGAAUUACUUAACACUUAGAAAUAUUUAUCUACUUGUACCCAAUUUAUACUUAGCAACUAUACCUAGAUGACUUAAACAGACAUUAGACAAGCAUAGCUACCACUUUAAAUGAUUUUCUUGUCACACAAAACUCUUAAAGGCUAAUGCAUUCAGAAUACUAUCAUUUCCUGACCAACAAACACAGGCACAAGUGUAUCCGAAUGAUUUUGAAAAUCUUUAUACUUUUUUCUUUAACAUUUAUUUGAGAGGUAGAGUUAGAGGGAGAGACAGAAAUAUCUUCCAUUGGCUGGUUUACUCCUCAAAUGGCCACAAUGGCCAGAGUUUUACCAAUCUGAAGCCAGGAGCCUCUUUCAGAUCUCUCACAUGGAUGCAAGUGCCCAAGCAUUUGGGGCAUCUUCCACUGCAUAUAUGUUCACAUUCUUUCAAAAUGAUGACUUUCUCUGUUUCUGUGUAUAGAACAUCCUUAUGUAUCAUUUCUAAGGCUGGACAAGUAAUCACAAAUUCUUUCCAUUUGUUUUAAUUUAUAAAUUAUAGAUUUUCUGGAUACGUAUUCUGGGUUGACAGUUUAUUGUGUACCCAUGAAAUUUAAUUUAUUAAAAGCUUUCUUUAAAAAAAGGACUUGGACAUUAUUAGUCCAUUAUCUGCCAGCCUAUCAUGUUUCUUUUGAAAAAACAGCUGUCAGUCUGAUCUGAGACCCUUUGAAGGUAAUCUGGUAUUUCUUUCAUGCACAUGUUAGAAUCUUUUUGUUUCACUGUUGAAAGUUUGACUAU